Small nucleolar RNA from Ochotona princeps (American pika), 134 nucleotides. RefSeq annotates it as small nucleolar RNA SNORA70. NCBI's taxonomy places the organism in Eukaryota, Metazoa, Chordata, Mammalia, Lagomorpha, Ochotonidae. The record is from RefSeq and is a predicted model, not a curated record. The transcript has a single exon.
UUGCAGCUAAUUAAACCUACCAACUCCCUUGCUUCAUGGGGAGCUGGUGUGCAAUGACUGCAAUCAGCAGCCUCCUUGGUAAUCUAUGCAACCUGUUGCUUUUAUGGGUUGUCAAGAGAACCUUGGAGCCACCU